AAGCCAGUUGCGGUUCUAGUUCUUAUGCUCAACGAUACACAAAGCAUCUA
Molecule: small RNA, 50 nt
Filed under: Arabidopsis thaliana (thale cress)
Lineage: Eukaryota; Viridiplantae; Streptophyta; Magnoliopsida; Brassicales; Brassicaceae
Description: ATSL039310
Source: RNAcentral